UACAGUGGUUAUAAGAGAACCUCUGACAGAUCCAGUAGUGUAUUUUCUACAAUGACGGUUUUCUAGAAUUACAUUCCCAGAGGACUGGGGACCUCCAGGACACCGUUUUCCAGAUGAUACAGCUGCUGUAGCCACGAGUGGAGGGAAUGAAAAGCUACGUCGGCAGCACUGAUUCAGUCAGAGGGUGCUGAGGCUUGGGUAAAGCCAUUUGCUUUCAUUGCUGGCUCUCUGGCCCUUGUGUUCACCUGAUCUGUUCUGCUUCUGAGAACACAGUUUCAGACAUCCCAUUCUCUGAGAUUGAUCCAGCUCAUAGGUGAGUUACCUCCGACACUCCGGUUCUUCAGCUUCACAGGGACCUUCAGUUCUGUUACCCGAGCCCUCUCCAUUUAACAGCCUCUGCCGUGCUGUGCGCGGUCACUCCAGUCGUGUCCGACUGUCUGCGGGACUGUGGAUCCUAUGCCCAGGCGCCUCAGUCCCUGGGAUUCUCCAGGCAGGAAUACUGGAGUGGGUUGCCAUGCCCUCCUCCAGGGGGUCUUCCUGACCCAAGGGCCGAACCCUCACCUCCAGCAUCUCCAGCAUCACAGGCGGAUUCUCCACCGCUGAACCGCUGGGUUAACAGCCUCUGCCCGUCUGUAUUUCCCUCCCUCUCCCAAUCAUGAUUGAUUCACAGCCCACCCCUCAGAUACCCAUCACCGCCAAUAUUCCCAGACCUUAGUGCUGCACCUCCGGCGGCACCUGUCUUGCCCACUAUGCAUGAAUGCAUCUGGCCAUUUUUUUUCUUGCUAGCUCAUAGGCUGCUGAGCCCCACAGGAGAAGAUAUGCCAAAGCACACAGACCAUCCUGGUUAUAAUGGUCAUCAGUCCCAGUGAAGCCCCUACCACUGCCUGACUAGCCUACUGUUUCCCUAGUCAUCCAUCUCCCAUUUUCAACAACUAUUUCAGAACUUCUUCACUGCCCUGACACCUCUGACCCACUCACCACCUCCUCAUUCUCUGCUGAUGACUGCCUCCUUCUUCAGAGAACAAACGGAAGUGAUCGGUUAGGAAUUCUCUCCACUUCUGGCCAACCAACCUACAAUCCUUGCUGCUCUCUGCACCGAUACUCUUUCUCCUAUUCCAGUAGAAGAGGCAACCCUCACGGGUCUAGAUCCCAUUCCUUCCAAUAUCCUGACACUUUCGUAUUUUCUGCUUUUAUCUGUUUUCCUGAUUCCCUUUCAUUAAAAAAAAAAAGGGGGGAGGGGCAUUUUCCAGUCUGUCUCAUCUUCAUAUCUCUUGGCUCAUAUCCCUCUCCAGUUACCAAACUCUUUCUCUUCUCCUUUUCAGUACCUUCUGAAAAAGUCUACCUUCCCUUCCUGAGCUACUCAUGGUAACACUCCCAGGACUUCGUGAUUGUGCUCAGGUGCUCAGCCGGGUCCGACUCUGCAGCCCUGUGGGUGUAGACCACCAGGCUCCUCUGUCCGUGGGAUUCUCCAAGCGAGGAUACUAAAGUGGGUUGCCAUUUCCUCCUCCAGGGGAUCUUCCCGACCCACGGAUGGAACCUGUGUCUCUUUCGCGUCCUACAUUGGGAGGUGGAUUCUUUACCACUGAGCCACCCGGGAAGCCCUUCCAGGAUCUUCCAUGGUGCUAAACCCAUUCUCUGUACAUUUUUCAAUCCUCAUCUUACUAGAUCUUUCAUCAGCUUUUGACAGGGUAGAUCUCUCGUUCUAAAAAAUAUGCCUUUCCUCAACUUUUUUUUUCCUUAGCACUCACUUGCUUUGUUUCCUCUCUAUCAGCGUGUUCUCACUUUUCUUUGCAAGAUUGUGUCGUCUGCUGUCCUCUCAGUUGUAGGUGGUCCACAGAGCUUUGUCCUAAGUCCUGUCUCUACAGACUCAUACCUGCAUAAGUUAUACUUGUAUAAAUUUAAAUUUAUAAUUUAUACCUGUAUAAAUUAUAAGUGUAUAAUUUAGUUCUUCCUCUUAGUUUUACCAUCAUCAAUUUGCUGAUAACUCUUAACUGUAGAUCUCUAGUGCAUAUUGCUCUCCUGAAUUUGAAACACAUGUAUCAGCUAUCAGCUGUCUGUAGCUCCAUGUAGCUACGUGUGUAACAGGUACAACAGGUACUUCAAACUCAAGACAAAAGUUAACUCAUCUCUUACAAACUUGCUCUUCUUCCAGUGUUCCUUACUCAAGAAACGGCCUUGCCGUCCACACAGUUGCUCAAAGGAGACGUAUGUCACUCUUGGCUUCUCUCUCUCACCCUCACUCAUCACAGCUGGUCAGUUACCAAGCCCUAUCAAUUACAUCCUCUUAAAAUGGCAUUCAAACGAGCCCACUUCUCUCCAUCCAGUGGCCUCCUUGCUCUUACCUGGGCUACUGUAUCUACCCCCAGUUAACUGGUCUCCCUAACCCCUAGUAGUUAGUUCCUCUUUUCCCCACUGGUGUUCCUCUCCUCCAGUGCAUUUCCUCCACAGCAGCCAGAAUUAUCUUCCAAAGAGAAAUUACAUCGUUUCUGCUUAAACCCCUUCAGUUGCUUUGCGUUGCUUUUGGGGUAAGCCGUGGCUCCUGCCUUCAUCUCCAGCCGCACCUUGAAUUCCCCUCUUCCCCUGCUGUGUUCUCUCGGUUCCCUUACUUCCACUGUCUGGAUCCUCCUCCAUCAUCUGCCAAGGUAACUCACACGCCUUCCUUUGGUUUCAGAUUAAACAUUUCCCGCGGGAGGUUCGGAGUCCCUGUUCUGUUUACAUGGUGCCCUGAGCUGCCCUUUUCAUAAAGUCAGCAGAUUUUGUCACAGUUACUAGAUUUAUUACCUAUUUUUUUCUGGAUUGUAGGAACUGUGUUUCUCCUUGUUUUCCUGUUGUCCGUCACUGUAACUGGACAUGGUAAGUUCCAAUUAAAUGUUGAAAGGAGAAAGGGAAAGAGAAGAAAGACUAUAAAAGGCAGUAUCGUACAAAAUUUGCAUACAUUUUAAGGGUAAAACAAGACUGCAAAUAAAUUUUUCUUUUCUGUCAUACAAAUAUGGUUUGCAUUAACCUUAAGAUACAAGUUAUUAAUACAUGUCAGCUUUCUUUCCCCACUUUAGUGGAAAGAUAUAUUUUGAACAUUUUGUCUGCAGCAUUCCAUUAAAUGGAUAGAGCUAGAUAUUUACUUAGACCAGUGAUUUUCAGCCUGGAAAUCUCUUGGUGGGGUUUUAAAAAUUUUGUUUCCUGAGUCCCACCCUCACAGAUUUUCAUUUAAUCUGCCUGAGAUUUUUCGAAGCUCUCUAUAUGAUUCUGAUACAUAGCAAAAGUCAAGAACACGACAGUUACUGGAGCUUUUGUUUUUGUGACUUGCUUCACUGACUGAUUUUGGAGCCUGUUGGAAAAUAAGAACUGAAAGCAAUGCAGAUUCAGCAGCACCCUGAUCCACCCACAAGCGCUUUCACCUACAACCACAAACGGCUGAAGUAGCGAAAAGAACUCCUUGGUCAAGUCCAAAGGUGGUGCUGUGUGUUGUGAGCUGAGUCACUCAGUCGUGUCCAGCUCUUUGCAACCCCCAAACUGUAGCCAAGCUCCUCUGUCCAUAGAACUUUCCAGGCAAGAAUACUGGAGUGGAUUGCCAUUUCCUCCUCCAGGGAAUCAUCCUAACCCAGAAAUCGAACCUGUUCACAUGCAUUGCAGGCAAACUCUUUACCAGCUCAGCCCCCGGGGAAGCCCCAGAGGCAGUGCUGGUCUCAGGCGCCUUUGGUCCAGUGACCCGGUGACCCCAGUCACUCCACAUCUUUCUGUUUCUCUUCCCAGCCUUGGUGUGGACUCGCUCCCAGUGUGGGCCUUCGUCGUGGCGGAAGACGGCUGCUGAAGCCACCAGGAGAGGGAGGGCAUCUCUGUCCCAGUGUUGUCAUUAGAAAAAGUCCUCAGGGUCACACUGACCGGCCUGGUUCAAGUUACAGACCAGUCGCUGUGUGCGAGGGGUGGGAAUGUGCCCGCGCAAGAGUGUCGUCCUCUCCCCAGGAGUCACAGGCAUCCCCGAGUGAGCAGAGGGUCCUUUGAGGAGGAGGAGGGGAGAACAGUCAGCGCCGAGAGCAUCAGACAUCGGCUGUCACACGCAGAGGUGUGGCCCGGCUGCAGAAUUCGGUCACAACACGGCAGUAGUCCCCUACAGUAUCGUGUGCUAAUUGUGAGUAGCACAGAUACAUUUUCACAGCAGUUCCCACAGUUAGGACUUCCCUGGUGGUAGAGUGGAUAAGAAUCUGCCUACCAGUUGCAGGGGCGACGGGUUCGAUCCCUGGUGCGGGAAGAUCCCACAUGCCGUGAAGCAACUAAGGCCGUGUGCCCCAGCUGCUGAAACCCGCAUGCCUAAAGCCUAAGCUCUGCAACAGGCGAAGCCACUGCGAUGAGAAGCCCGUGCACUGCGGCUGGAGAGCAGCCCCUGCUCCCUGCAACUAGAGAGCGCGCGUGCAGCAGUGAAGACCCAGCGCACCCCGCACCAGAGAGAUUCCCACAGUUCGCCCCUGAUAGAAAACUAAGGUUGUAUUUAUCACAGAACUCUUCAGUGAAAAAAACCCUGAGAACAGAAAAUUUGAUUUGGGCCCUGCAAAUGUAAGUUUCCUCGUGUCUGGCUUUUUCUUGGUGCCUCAGUGAGCAUGUUUUCUUCCCUCAUUUUGAAAAAGCAAAAAAUGAGACCCUCCAGAGAGUCUGACAUGCGGAUUGCCACCCUCCAAUCUGAGUGGCACUAGCCAAGAAGAUCCCGUUGAGCUUUGCAUUUUGUAAUUACCAUUAUGAAAGCAAUAGGGUUUAAGUUUCCCCCCUGAAAUGUACUAUUGGAUUAUAAUAUUAGUUAUGCCAUUUCUAAUGACACAUGCUAAAAAGAAAGAAAGAAAGAAAGAAAAAUUCACCACACGCAAAAAUUUCCCUAAAAGCCUCUUUCCCUUUACCUACCCCCCCACCCCCCAGGGGAUGUUAACUCUCCCUGGUUGAAAAUUCACUGUUCUACAACUGGUUCUUACCAAACACCUUUCUGAUUAUAACUGACUUUGCAUAAGAAAAUUUCCCGUAAUAGAAAAUGUGCUAACCAGGAAACAUGGAUUUGGGGUCUGCUUAGAGUUAUGUUUCCUACUGCAAGUUAAUUUAUUGGCAUUCACCAACCCUUAGAGUCUCAUUGUGUCUACGUGUGCUGAUUUUAAGUUUCUGAGUUUAUAAAAUGGAGGACCACAUUCCAGAGCAAGGCCCAUGCCUUAAAGUUAGUACUAAGACCAGAGAUGUCACCCUGUCCUGGUGGCCAGCUGUUCUUUCAAGCCGCCCUCACCAGGUUCCGUUCAAAUUGCACCAAUAAAAUGCAUUUUUUAAAUAAGUGGCGUAAAACAGCACAGGUGGAAUUUCUUUUGUUGUUUUUGCUGCUGUUGUUUGGUCGCUAAGUCGUGUCCGACUCCUUUGUGGCCCCAUAGACUGGAGCCCGCCAGGUUCCCCUGUCC
Molecule: long non-coding RNA, 5420 nt
Organism: Cervus elaphus (red deer)
Lineage: Eukaryota; Metazoa; Chordata; Mammalia; Artiodactyla; Cervidae
Exons: 3
Source: RefSeq, a predicted model, not a curated record